Molecule: ribosomal RNA, 570 nt
Filed under: Gastrophryne olivacea (western narrow-mouthed toad)
Lineage: Eukaryota; Metazoa; Chordata; Amphibia; Anura; Microhylidae
Description: partial 16S ribosomal RNA
Rfam family: Bacterial large subunit ribosomal RNA
Source: RNAcentral
AAACAUCGCCUCCUGCAGUAUAUAGGAGGUCCAGCCUGCCCAGUGACCAAGUUAAACGGCCGCGGUACCCUAACCGUGCGAAGGUAGCGCAAUCACUUGUUCUUUAAAUGAGGACUAGUAUGAAUGGCAUCACGAGGGUUACACUGUCUCCCACCUCUAAUCAGUGAAACUGAUCUCCCCGUGAAGAAGCGGGGAUAAAACUAUAAGACGAGAAGACCCCAUGGAGCUUCAAACCCGGCAUCAACCAUUAACAUUAAUACCACAUUAAAUAAGUGGACCUGACUGCUGGUUUUAGGUUGGGGUGACCGCGGAGCAUAACAAAACCUCCAUGAUGAACGACCUCCUCUCUAAUCCGAGAGCCACCACUCAAAGAAUCAAAAAAUUGACAUUUAUUGACCCAAACUAUUUUGAUCAACGAACCAAGUUACCCUGGGGAUAACAGCGCAAUCCAUUUCAAGAGCCCCUAUCGACAAAUGGGUUUACGACCUCGAUGUUGGAUCAGGGUAUCCUAGUGGUGCAGCCGCUACUAAAGGUUCGUUUGUUCAACGAUUAAAACCCUACGUGAUCUGA